Molecule: unclassified non-coding RNA, 57 nt
Filed under: Mus musculus (house mouse)
Lineage: Eukaryota; Metazoa; Chordata; Mammalia; Rodentia; Muridae
Description: partial C/D box snoRNA; brain-specific; small non-messenger RNA (snmRNA)
Source: RNAcentral
GAGGAGCAUGGGGUUUCUGACCGAGGACAGUGAUUAAACCCUUAUGAAAUCUGAGGA